GCAGUGAUGGCCGAGUGGUUAAGGCGUCUGACUAGAAAUCAGAUGGGAUCUUCCCGCGUAGGUUCGAAUCCUACUCACUGCA
Molecule: transfer RNA, 82 nt
Filed under: Penaeus vannamei (Pacific white shrimp)
Lineage: Eukaryota; Metazoa; Arthropoda; Malacostraca; Decapoda; Penaeidae
Description: Litopenaeus vannamei (Pacific white shrimp) tRNA
Rfam family: tRNA
About the family: Transfer RNA (tRNA) molecules are approximately 80 nucleotides in length. Their secondary structure includes four short double-helical elements and three loops (D, anti-codon, and T loops).
Source: Rfam by way of RNAcentral